UACGUAGGGUGCAAGCGUUGCCCGGAUUUAUUGGGCGUAAAGGGCGCGUAGGCGGCUCUGCACGUUCGUUGUGAAAUCGCCCGGCUCAACUGGGCGGGGUCAGCGGAUACGGCAGAGCUUGAGCAAGCUAGGGGGCAAUGGAAUUCCCGGUGUAGCGGUGGAAUGCGUAGAGAUCCGGAAGAACACCGGUGGCGAAGGCGGCCUGCUGGGCAGUUAGCUGACACUGAGGCGCGACAGCGUGGGGAGCAAACAGG
This 254-nucleotide ribosomal RNA is filed under the name uncultured bacterium. RNAcentral describes it as "partial 16S ribosomal RNA". It matches the Rfam family "Bacterial small subunit ribosomal RNA", at positions 524 to 776 of the family's 1533-position model. The record is from RNAcentral.